This 254-nucleotide ribosomal RNA is filed under the name uncultured bacterium. RNAcentral describes it as "partial 16S ribosomal RNA". It matches the Rfam family "Bacterial small subunit ribosomal RNA", at positions 524 to 776 of the family's 1533-position model. The record is from RNAcentral.
UACGUAGGGAGCAAGCGUUUGUCCGGAAUCAUUGGGCGUAAAGCGCGCGUAGGUGGCCUCAUAAGUCCGUUGUGAAAGUCAAAGGCUCAACCUUUGAAAGCCGAUGGAUACUGUGAGGCUAGAGUCCGGAAGAGGCGAGUGGAAUUCCUGGUGUAGCGGUGGAAUGCGCAGAUAUCAGGAGGAACACCAAUAGCGAAGGCAGCUCGCUGGGACGGUACUGACACUGAGGCGCGAAAGCGUGGGGAGCGAACAGG